CCUACGGGAGGCAGCAGUGGGGAAUAUUGCACAAUGGGGGAAACCCUGAUGCAGCGACGCCGCGUGAGUGAAGAAGUAUUUCGGUAUGUAAAGCUCUAUCAGCUGGGAAGAAGAAAGACGGUAGAUGACUAAGAAGCACCGGCUAACUACGUGCCAGCAGCCGCGGUAAUACGUAGUGGGCAAGCGUUAUCCGGAUUUACUGGGUGUAAAGGGAGCGUAGACGGCUGUGCAAGUCUGAAGUGAACGCCCAGGACUCAACCCUGGGACUGCUUGGGACACUGUGGAGCUAGAGUGCUGGAGAGGUAAGUGGAAUUCCUAGUGUAGCGGUGAAAUGCGUAGAUAUUAGGCGGAACACCAGUGGCGAAGGCGGCUUACUGGACAGUAACUGACGUUGAGGCUCGAAAGCGUGGGGAGCAAACAGGAUUAGAUACCCCAGUAGUC
Molecule: ribosomal RNA, 441 nt
Filed under: uncultured bacterium
Lineage: Bacteria
Description: partial 16S ribosomal RNA
Rfam family: Bacterial small subunit ribosomal RNA
Source: RNAcentral